GACGAACGCUGGCGGCGUGCCUAACACAUGCAAGUCGAACGGGAUCAGGGGCAACUCUGGUUCAGUGGCGGACGGGUGCGUAACACGUGAGGAACAUGACUUUCGGCGGGGGAUAGCCGGCCCAACGGCCGGGUAAUACCGCGUACGACCUCUCGGGGACAUCCCCGGUUGGUGAAAGCAGCAAUGCACCGAAAGAGUGCCUCGCGGCCUAUCAGCUAGUUGGUGGGGUAACGGCUCACCAAGGCGACGACGGGUAGCUGGUCUGAGAGGAUGGCCAGCCACAUUGGGACUGAGACACGGCCCAGACUCCUACGGGAGGCAGCAGUGGGGAAUAUUGCGCAAUGGGCGAAAGCCUGACGCAGCGACGCCGCGUGUGGGAUGACGGCCUUCGGGUUGUAAACCACUGUCGGGAGGGACGAAUGCGCCGCAAGGCGAGUGACGGUACCUCCAAAGGAAGCACCGGCUAACUCCGUGC
This 475-nucleotide ribosomal RNA is filed under the name uncultured bacterium. RNAcentral's name for it is "bacterial SSU rRNA". It matches the Rfam family "Bacterial small subunit ribosomal RNA", at positions 28 to 508 of the family's 1533-position model. The record is from RNAcentral.